UAUAGGUCAUAUACAAAGAUAAGAGGGUAUAUUAUAAACAACUUUACGAUAGUAAAUGUGAAAAUUUAGAGGAAAUGGACACAUUCCUAGGAAAUAGAAUUUACCUAAUUUAUGGAAGUUACUCGGACAGCCGCGGGGGCAGCUACUGCCGGAAAGGAAGUGGCAUUUGAGUACUUGACGCGGAAAUCUUGGCACGUCUCCUUUAAGAGGAGGUGAAGCUCCGCCCCACGUGAGAACGCCAUUUCUCAGCGCCCGUUGUGAUGUACGUCACGACGGUGGAGGGCCAAUGAGGGCCCGGGAGGGGGGGCGUUCCUGUGCGUGUGGACGAGGUGGGGGCGGGACUUCCGGAACCGUCCUCCUGGGAUGCCGUCGGCUCAGGGGUCGGCCCUUACCCGAAGGACCCGAGAGCUGGGUGGGGCGGUCCUGGAGGAUUCUCGGCUGGGGCUCCCUUGGCGGCAGGGCCGCGUGGUCUCCGAGGAUGUGGCCUGUGCUUCUCCCAGGAGGAGUGGCCCGGCGCCUGCUGCGUGGAGGUUGGAUGUGGGGGAACUUGGCACCUGCGGCCCCGGGGUGGUCGGUGUGGAGUAGAGCGGGAGGCACCGGCCGAGCGGGGCGCUUUUGUAAGCGCGUCUCAGGACGCCCCUCGCAGGUCCGUCUGCUUGGGCGCGUUCCCUGAGAUGUGUGGCCCAGGCUGGAAAGACGAGUUGCUCCUGGCUGAGCACCGGGGAGCCGCCGCGGGCAGAAGCUGCAGUGAGGAGGCGUGUGGGAGAGGCUUCGGCCUCAGCGCUCCCGGCUCCAAAGCAGCCCAGCCGAGAGAAACCCAGCAGAGGCGGGCAGGGUAGGGCCUCGUGGCGAGGCACUGUGGAGUCCACGUGUCAGAGAAGCCCUCAGUGUGCGGGGAGGACGGGUCCCCGCAAGCGCCGGCCUCCUCCAGCACCAGGACGGGGAAGGCCGGCAGGAGCGCCGCAGGCUGGGAGGCCGCUCACCCCGGACAGUACGGCAAGUGGGAGGGAGCCUACGGCCGCCACACCGGGGCAGGUCUGAGUGAAGGUAAUCCCCGCCUCUUUCAACGGCGGAGAAUCCACGCUGGGGAAGAGCCUUAUGAGUGCAGCCACCGUGGGAAGGAUGCGUUCAGCGAAGGAUACACGCUUGUUUGGCACCAGAAGGUUCUCAGCAGAAAGGCCUGGUACUUCCCUGGCGGUCCGGUGGUUAGGACUCCGCGCUUCCACUGCAGGGGGCACGGGUUCGAUCCAUGGUCGGGGAACUAAGAUCCCCGCAAGCCAAAGGGCUCAGCACCGCCCCCGCCCCCCCCCCCAAAAAAAAGCCUGAUAAGUGCGGUAAUAUCAGAGAACCUUUAGCGACAUCUCUAAGCUCAGUUGGCAUCAGAAAGUUUAUACUAGAGAAAGUCCCUUUGAAUGCAUGGAAUGAAAGCAUUUUGCCAAAGGUGUGCUCUGAUUUACACUGGAAAGUUCACAGCCCAGGAAAGUGUUAGGAGUGCAGCAAACGUGGGAAAACCUCCUGCCAAAACGUCAAGCUUGUGCUGCAUGGAAGUCUGUUGAGUAUGCCCAGUGUGCGAAAGCGUUAAGCUGCAGGUCCGGCCUCAUUCACCCCUGGCAGGUUCACCCUCGAGGAAGACCUCAUGGAUGCAGAGAUGGAGGAAGGCCUUCCACCCGAGAGGCUUCUUCAUUCAGCAGCAGAACGUUCGCCGUAGAGAGGCCUAUGAGUGCGGCCAAUGUGAGAAAACCUUCAGUCAAGGGCUUCACCUCGUAAAGCAUCAGGAAGUUCAUGCUGGGGAAAGGCCUUAAGUGUGCAGGGGACGUGCUCUCUCCUCGUUCAGCGGAACAGGACGCGCGCCAGAGAUGAGCUGCGGGAGCCUCUGUGAGGAUACCCUGGGCUGGAAGUUGAGCUUCAUGGGGUCGAACGGGAUAUUCCUGACGAGCGCUAGGGACAUUGUUGGCCUCAUGUGACUCGAUGGAUUUGUCCAGCUUCCAAGUCAGACUUCCAGGGGAACUGCCUGCCUCCCAUUAGUCUGCUGGGUGUGGAAAUAAAGGCCUUGUUACUGAAGCCACCUUGAACCUGGGGAUUUCGGCUUACUGUGUAGGAUCAGUCAGUACUCUUAUUCUUAGGGGCACCGUGUUCAGUGAACCACUGUUAAAGAUCCCUGGGGACCAAGGUGUUUUGAUUGCGGGUACACAUCUGCUGUCUUUCUUGGUGGAUGCACCCGCCUUGCCUUUGGUGGUCGAUGCCUGCCGUUUGGCCUCUGCUCCCCUGGAAUCCCAUCGUCUCCAUUGAAACCGGGGAGCCCCCGUCAGUGGCACCAUCCCCACCAUCACGCGUGCCGUCGAGGAGAACAGUCCCGAAGCUUUCCAAGGAGGUGAGUGCUCCUCUCGCUAGUGUGUUUCUCGGUGCCCGAGUGAAAGGAGUGUCUUCUGGGUCUUCCGGAAGUCCGUAGUUGGGAGGGAGGUGUGCAGGUCACACAGGAUGAAUCCAGUACAACAUUCCCCUCUCCCUAGGCCUUUGGAUUCCCUCCUCCAUGCCAGGGAAGCUCUGGCAUCUCAACCUAGCUGAACGUAGGCCAUUUUUGAGGAUAAGUCUCAGUCAAACAGUCAGAUAUGUUGUUUAGAAACACCUCCAGCUGCUCAAGUGAGUGCAUUAAAUCUGGACUCUAGUCCCUUUACCAUCAUCCAUAAAUUUGGCCUGAUCUAGUGUUAUGUUCCACCCUCCGUGGUCUGACACCCUUAGAAUCCACUUCACACGUGUUUCCCAUGUUUCUGGUAUAUAUUAGAAAAGGCUUGCUCAUUUUCUAGGUGGGUAAGCUAGCCUUCCCGGAGCAUUGUGUAUUCCUGUCCCACUGGAGCAUGCUGUGAUUUGACCUUAGUCAUGUGUCUGGUGGCAACGGGGGUAGUUGUGCUGGGUCUUGAGAAUAGGUGUCCCUUUUCAAGGCAUCUCCCCUUGGCAAGGGUGUCACCGGAUUUUCAAGCAAAGGAAGAUGCCACGGACAAACGACCUCUACUGGUGAGGAAGGCUUAGAACAACUUGGGGUUUUAGGAUGAUCAGGUCCCUGGAUCUAACCAGAUGUCCCCACUCCCAGUUUCAUGCUCCCACCCUUUCUCAGUCAGUGCCUGACUUUCCCUUGAGAUACUGGUGAGACUGAAUCUGGCUGUUAACAAGCAAUACAAUGAACUUUUCUGUAUGAUUUUUAGAAAUAACAGCCCUGUGACUGCAAGAAAAGAAAGAGGUUCUUUAUUGAAGUAUUCUGGUUCUGUUACUUGUCCUGAGAGUUAAGUCACCAUGACUUGUCAUUUUCUCUCUAUAUGCACUCCAGUGCACUCAAAGCUCUAUCCCAUACCGUACUUCCUGUAGUCAUCUUUACUACCAUUUAAAAAAAAAAAAAAAGGUUCAGUAGCCACAGGUGCUCCAAGUCACUUGCUUCAGUUAGCACUUCAUCACAAGCAACCAAAGGCGAAGGCUUCAUUAAUUCUGAUGCUGGUGCAUGGGGGCAUGCCAUGGAUUACUAGCUUCCCAUUUCCCGCUGGCAAUGAGCUCAACACUGCUUAAGCUUGAAAUCACAACAGAUCAAUUCCCAGAUCCCACUUUGCAAGUCUAUCUCCUGUGAUCACUCCCGGUACCAGUUCUGUAUCAGUCAGGGUCCAGUCCAGCAGACAGUAACCACACAAUAAUAUGAGCAAGGAAGGUCUGAGAUAAGGAUUAUUAACUAUUUCCAGGGAGAUAAAAGAGCAUUUGAAGGAAUACCCCAAGGGAGAGUACCCACGGAAGGAACAAAUGUGGAAGGCAGGGAGCCCUCCCUAAGGCUGGAUUGACACCUUGUUGGAGAUGGUGGUGUUGUUUUAACUCAACAGACAGACGGCAGAAAAGUUCUCAGGGUUGAUCUUGGCCAGAGUUGGUCCAUAUGACUGAUGGGCAAGAGCUCUGAGCUAGUGGAAGGCGGGACCCUCUAUCCCCAGCGCCCCCCCUCCUGCACUGGGGUGCCUACGUGAUUCACCUGGAAGCUGCCCUGGGGAAGGGAGGUGCUGUCAACUUUGCUUAGAAGCCUGCUGGGUCGUGGCUGGGCUUGCUGGUGAGCUGCUGAGAAGCCCUCCGGGGAGUGCCCUUGAACCCUCUGGAAACUGCUUACAGGGGUGCCACUGAGCUCCCCACCAGGAAGCCACUUCAGGUGCCCUGAAGCUCACUGGGAGGCGAGCUCCUGGGUACACCGCGCUCCAGCCAAGCACCCGGGGAAGAAGGAGGAGAAACUUGCUCUUCCAGUGUCCCUCCAGCUCCCUCUACCGACAGAACCUGACAUUGCGCCAGCUGCAAGGAAGACGUGGUCUGGACCAGAAGCAGGACAGUGGGAAGUGGUGUCAGGGCUGAGAGGCCACGCGUUUACCGCCGGCACAACCGAAGUCGUGUUAUGACGCUAGCCCACCCUCGAUGGCAAAACCCGGCAAAGACAGCAGGAGAAAAAGAAUACUGGUCUGUGUCACAUGUGCAUGGAUGCAAAAUGCUAAAGAAAUCUCAGAAAACUGGACUUAGCAAUAUAUAAACUAUAAUGCACUAAGACCACCUUGGGUUUAUAUUGGUGUCCGCUGGCUCUCCACCGAAAUCUGUGCUCUUCUUUCAUAGUAUGGGGCUGUCACCGUGAAGCACCCAGCUGUGACCAGGUGACCUCUUCAUCAGUGGAGUGCUGCCUCCAGGCUAAGGCUUUUAGGAAGAGAGCACGUGGGCCUCCUCCCCGUCUCUUUCCCGGUGGUGGGGUGGUGCGGAUGAUGACCGGCCCCUUGGGGAUGGAGGAGUUACCAGGUGGUGGCGUGUGAAGAGCUUCCUGCCAAUCCAGCUUCCAUCCUGGGCUAAACAGGUGAUAAGCUUCUCAUGUUUUGAGCUAGUGCCCACUUCGGCUUAGGUAUGUAUGUGUAUGUGUGUGUUUUAGCCUUACCUAGCCAUAUUUAUAAGUUAUAUAGUUCACUAUAUUUACAACUUAUUAAGGGAUAAAAAUGAUAUGAUCAUGUUAACAGAUGAAAAAGUGUCUAAUAAAAAACCCCUG
This is a long non-coding RNA of Balaenoptera musculus (blue whale), 5038 nucleotides long. RefSeq lists it as uncharacterized. The record is from RefSeq and is a predicted model, not a curated record. The transcript has 3 exons. Lineage: Eukaryota; Metazoa; Chordata; Mammalia; Artiodactyla; Balaenopteridae.